Long non-coding RNA from Phyllostomus discolor (pale spear-nosed bat), 295 nucleotides. RefSeq lists it as uncharacterized. NCBI's taxonomy places the organism in Eukaryota, Metazoa, Chordata, Mammalia, Chiroptera, Phyllostomidae. The transcript has 2 exons. The record is from RefSeq and is a predicted model, not a curated record.
GAUAGGGCACAAAACAAGCCUCAAAAAAUUCAAAUAAAUUGAAAUCAUGUCAAACAAUUUCUUAGACCACAAUGGCUUGACACAAAAAACCAACCUCAAGGAAAAAAUUCAAAAACACUCAAGCUCAUGGAGAUUAAAUAGCAUGUUCUUAAACAAUGAAUGGGUUAGGAAUGAGAUCAAGGAAGAAAUCAAAAAGUUUCUGGACACAAAUGAAAAUGAGCACACAACUGUCCAAAACUAAUGGGACACAGUGAUGGCAGUCCUGAGAGAAUAGUUCAUAGUGAUACAGGCCUAC